GAUGGAUCUGCGGCUCAUCAGGUAGUAGUGGGUGUAAUGUACCUACUAGCCAACGACGAGUACGGGUUGUGAGAGCAAGAGCCCGGAGAUGGAUUCUGAGACACGAAUCCAGGCCCUACGGGGUGCAGCAGGCGCGAAUCCUUUACAAUGCAGGAAACUGCGAUAAGGGGACACCGAGUGCCAGUGAAUUUCAUUGGCUGUCUUAAUGUCUAAAACGCAUUUAAUAGCAAGGGCUGGGCAAGACCGGUGCCAGCCGCCGCGGUAAUACCGGCAGCCCGAGUGGUAACCACUAUUAUUGGGUCUAAAGGGUCCGUAGCCGGGCCAAUCAGUCUUCUGGGAAAUCUGGCAGCUCAACUGUCAGGCGACUAGGGGAUACUGUUGGCCUUGGGACCGGGAGAGGUAAGAGGUACUUUAGGGGUAGGAGUGAAAUCUUGUAAUCCUUAAGGGACCACCAGUGGCGAAGGCGUCUUACCAGAACGGGUCCGACGGUGAGGGACGAAAGCUAGGG
RNAcentral lists this ribosomal RNA (508 nucleotides) under uncultured archaeon. RNAcentral describes it as "bacterial SSU rRNA". It matches the Rfam family "Archaeal small subunit ribosomal RNA", at positions 208 to 716 of the family's 1478-position model. The record is from RNAcentral.